GAUGAAGAACGUAGUGAAAUGCGAUAAGUAGUGUGAAUUGCAGAAUUCAGUGAAUCAUCGAAUCUUUGAACGCACAUUGCGCCCCUUGGUAUUCCAUGGGGCAUGCCUGUUCGAGCGUCAUUUGUACCUUCAAGCUUUGCUUGGUGUUGGGUGUUUGUCUCGCCUCUGCGUGUAGACUCGCCUUAAAACAAUUGGCAGCCGGCGUAUUGAUUUCGGAGCACAGUACAUCUCGCGCUUUGCACUCAUAACGACGACGUCCAAAAGUACAUUUUUACACUCUUGACCUCGGAUCAGGUAGGGAUACCCGCUGAACUUAAGCAUAUCAAUAAGCGGAGGA
RNAcentral lists this unclassified non-coding RNA (337 nucleotides) under soil metagenome. Its description in RNAcentral is "partial contains 5.8S ribosomal RNA, internal transcribed spacer 2, and large subunit ribosomal RNA". The stretch from base 1 to 120 matches the Rfam family "5.8S ribosomal RNA", at positions 35 to 154 of the family's 154-position model. The record is from RNAcentral.